Molecule: long non-coding RNA, 1134 nt
Organism: Amphiprion ocellaris (clown anemonefish)
Lineage: Eukaryota; Metazoa; Chordata; Actinopteri; Pomacentridae
Source: Ensembl
GCUCAAAAAUGUCAUAGUAUAGUAUGUCGUCCAAAAAACGUCAUACUUUUUGGUGGGGUUUCGGACGACAUACUAAACUAUGAUAUUUUUUCCAAAUUUCGGACGACAUACUAAACUGACAUUUUUGCGACAUUUUGGACGACAUACUAAACUGACAUUUUUGGGACAUUUUGGACAACAUACUAAACUGACAUUUUUGGGAUAUUUUGGACGACCUACUAAACUGACGUUUUUGCGACAUUUUGGACGACCUACUAAACUGACGUUUUUCCGACAUUUUGGACGACAUACUAACCUAUGAUGUUUAUCUUCGAUUUCUUCAGUAAUUUAAUGAGUUAUCAGCAACAAUCCAGUGUUCAUUUGAUGAACUUCAUUUCCUGCAACAUCCAGAAUUGGAGCUCAUAUCUUUGGCAGCUGUAAAGUUUCUGCUCCUUCAAAGUUCACAACACAAUGAAUGAAUUCCUAAAACACUCUCAAUGCUGGAGAGUGUUUGAUGCUGAAGCAGUGAUCAGUUUUUCUGUUUCUUCUCUGGAGAUGCACAAUGAGGGACGUCUGCAGAGACUGAGAAAGAGUCUCACCACAUCCUGACAUGAGGAAAAAGACUUUAUUGAAGACUAGAAUGAGAAAAACUAUCAGACAGCAGACGGCUGCAUUCAAGUCUGUAGCUGCUGAAUUCAUGGAUGAAUCAUCUGGCACUAGAGAAGAAGACCAUCAAACAUCCACGUCAGCUGAUGGAGGUCCAAGAGUCUCACCCAACAAACAGCCUACAGAGUGAAGACCUCGAAUCUGAUUGGACGGCCUCCUAUUCAGCCACGUGUGAACAAAUGCCUCUAAGCUGAUUUGUUUUCUAAAAUCUAGUUUGAAUCCUAAUCUAUGCCUGUGUGUUUGCUUCUUUACACUGCUGUUAAAAGUUUGGGCUGUUAGAUUGUUCCAGAUAAGACAAGUACAAGAUUCUUCAGAGCUGUUCUACCACGAGCCUGACAGGAAGAACUCCAAUAUACCAAUAAACUCACCUUUUAGGUCUAUAUUGGAGGAUUUUAGGUGGAAUUUUCUUCCAAACCGUCUUUUAGUCUACAUUUAAGGAUGUUUAGGAUGGUAUAUUCUUCCAAACCAACUUCUCAGGUCUACAUUUCA